This 139-nucleotide ribosomal RNA is filed under the name uncultured bacterium. Its description in RNAcentral is "partial 16S ribosomal RNA". It matches the Rfam family "Bacterial small subunit ribosomal RNA", at positions 355 to 486 of the family's 1533-position model. The record is from RNAcentral.
UAGGGAAUUUUCGUUCAAUGGGCGCAAGCCUGAACGAGCGAUGCCGCGUGAGUGAAGAAGGCCUUCGGUCGUAAAGCUCUGUUGCGGGGGAAAAAAGGCAGCAUCAGGAAAUGGGUGCUGACUGAUGGUGCCCCGCCAG